This 253-nucleotide ribosomal RNA is filed under the name uncultured bacterium. RNAcentral's name for it is "partial 16S ribosomal RNA". It matches the Rfam family "Bacterial small subunit ribosomal RNA", at positions 524 to 776 of the family's 1533-position model. The record is from RNAcentral.
UACGUAGGGGGCUAGCGUUGUCCGGAUUUAUUGGGCGUAAAGAGCGUGUAGGCGGCCAGGUAGGUCUGCUGUGAAAACUCGAGGCUCAACCUCGAGACGUCGGCGGAAACCAUCUGGCUAGAGUCCGGAAGAGGAGAGUGGAAUUCCUGGUGUAGCGGUGAAAUGCGCAGAUAUCAGGAAGAACACCGGUGGCGAAGGCGGAUCUCUGGGCCUUACCUGACGCUGAGGCGCGAAAGCUAGGGGAGCGAACAGG